ACACAGGGCAGUGUUGCAAAUGGGUAUAAGAUGAAGUUGUAAAACUUUUUGAGACCUAGGCUCUAAAACUCACACAAUGUCACUUGCAGCUCAUUAUUGGCCAAAGCAAGUGACCGCGACAGGCUGGAUUCAAGGAGCAGGGAAACAGAUUCCACCUAUUUGUGGGAGGAUGUGCAUGAAAUUUCGGCCAAGUUUCAUGCACUCCGGUGAACGAGCUCUUACGGCAGCGCUAUCGCAUCUGCUCCUUUACUCCACCUUUCCAUGAAGGCUGAACCCUCAAGGAGAGACGCCCGUUGCUACCAAAAUAACUGUGUGAUAUUGUUAAGAGGACAGAAGAGAGAAAGAAAAAUUCUGGCUUGCAAUUAUAAAUUUCAUUUGCUAUAAUCAUUCUUUUGGAUAAGAAAAAAAGUAGAAAUUUCAUUUGCUAUAAUCAUUCUUUUGGAUAAGAAAAAAAGUAGAUGAAGAGAACACUCGAGAAAGAAGGUCUUGCAAUUCCUGCUUUGGGACUAGACAGAAAGUAUACAGAUCAAAACUGUCGGGUGAGCAUUCUCUACCUCUCCAAAUACCUUUGAAACAGCAAGAGAGAGAUCCUAACAGCCAAGAAUCUGUAAAGUCCCUAAGGUCAACAAAGGUCUCCAUGGGUCUCUGCAGGGCUCUACAGUCCAGAUCAGGACUGAAGAUAUAUAAGGAUAUAUAUGCAUAUACGAAUUGUAUGUAUGUAUAUAUAUAUUUUUUAUAUUUCUAUAUUCAAGAAGAAUGUCAAGGAAGCCUACAGAACAGGUAUAAGUUUAUCUUUCUGGCUGAGCUUCUAGAGACUUCAUGUUUGAAAUACCUCUAUCAGAUUUAAAAGUAAAACAAUGAAGAACUGUCGUCGUGGAAAUAAACUGAAGGAGUGUCUAUGGAACAGCCGGGCUGGUCAUAUCCUCCCUUUCUGUCUUUCUCUGUUCUCCUCCAUUCCUCUAUAAAAGUCAUAUCCAUCAAUGCUUAUUUUUUUCCCCAGGGUAAGCAGAAGAGCUGCUCACUGAAGAACUGAACAAUCUCUCCACAAAGGACUGGGCUUUCUCAAAGUAUAGUUAUCCUGGAGUAAACCCCUCCUUAUUGUUCACAUGACAGCAGGCAGGGGCAACGUGAAUACCUUAAAGUGAUGCCUUUAUCCACAUACCCUAUAAACAUACACAAAUUCUUGCUUACUUUGACUAUUCCAUGGGAAAAAGAGACCUGCUUAACUGAAGAGGAAACUCGUAUCUCCUACUAUACAUAAAUUUGAAUGAAAAAAUCAAGACUCAUUAGCCACUUGGAGGAAACAAACAGCUCAAAUAA
Molecule: long non-coding RNA, 1320 nt
Filed under: Equus caballus (horse)
Lineage: Eukaryota; Metazoa; Chordata; Mammalia; Perissodactyla; Equidae
Description: lncRNA (ENSECAG00000054708.1)
Source: RNAcentral